GACAGAGGUGCCAAGCGUUAGGCGGAAUCACUGGGCUUAAAGCGUGUGUAGGCGGAUUGGUAAGUACCUUGUGAAAUCCCACGGCUCAACCGUGGAACUGCUUGGUAUACUGCUUAUCUUGAGCCACUUAGGGGCUGUCGGAACAAACGGUGGAGCGGUGAAAUGCGUAGAGAUCGGCAGGAACACCCAGGGGGAAACCAGUCGACUGGGCAUCUACUGACGCUGAGGUGCGAGAGCGUGGGGAGCGAACCGG
Molecule: ribosomal RNA, 253 nt
Filed under: uncultured bacterium
Lineage: Bacteria
Description: partial 16S ribosomal RNA
Rfam family: Bacterial small subunit ribosomal RNA
Source: RNAcentral